CCCAUGUCUAGACCGAGCGUGUGCCACUGGACCUCAGUCCUCGCCUGGAGGAGACGCUGGACUUUGGCGAGGUGGAAGUGGAGCCCAGUGAGGUGGAAGACUUUGAGGCUCGUGGGAGCCGCUUCUCCAAGUCUGCUGAUGAGAGACAGCGCAUGCUGGUGCAGCGUAAGGACGAACUCCUCCAGCAAGCUCGCAAACGUUUCUUGAACAAAAGUUCUGAAGACGAUGCAGCCUCAGAGAGCUUCCUCCCCUCGGACGGUGCGUCCUCUGACCCCGUGACCCUGCGUCGAAGGAUGCUGGCUGCUGCCGCGGAACGGAGGCUUCAGAAGCAGCAGACCUCCUAGCGCUCCCUUGCCUUCCGCAGCUGCCUCCUGCGCCCUGUGCCCGACUGACUGGAGGAGGCUUGUCCCAAUUCUGCCCGCUCCAUGGAAAAGCGGGCUUGACUGCAUUGCCGCUGUAUAAAGCAUGUGGUCUUAUAGUGUUUGGACAGCUGAUAAAUUUAAUCCUUCUUUGUAAUACUUUCUAUGUGACAUUUCUCUUCCCCUUAGAAACACUGCAAAUUUUAACUCUAGGUAUGAUCUCUUCUGGUGUUGACUGGACUGCUUGGGGUGGGGGACGAUCAGGAGGAAGUGAGCAGUCACUUGCCUGCAGCAGGCAGCUUCUACUCCUGCCUCAUGCGUACAUCCCACAAAUGCAGGUGUCUGAGCACCACAUCCAGUGGGAAGAGUGUGGGGGAGACGCACAGUGUGAGCCCGCCCCCACAUCGUGGGGUAACAUCUGUUAUCAAACUGCUGUCGUUGUUGUGGAAGCAUGUAGACUGUGCCAGAGGCCAGACCCACAGGCUCAUGUACCCCUGAGCCAGCAGGGCAUCUUGGAAAAGGAAUUCUUGGUUCAAUACCUGGAGCAGAGGAGGGGAAAGUCCAGGGCUAUAGGGUGUGACGAAAUCACCCCUUUCUGUCCCACUACAUCUGGGACUGACUUUCUGAGCCUCCAGUCCAAAGCCGGCUUGAUUUCCAUGAACUCUGGUGCUCCUGCAUCUCAUGAGUGUGCCCCAUGGGUCCCCUCCCCUCUGAGCAUUUCCUUGUCCCGUCUGGACCUGGGGAGUGGUUAAGCAGCAAGGUUUGGUUUAUGGUUUUCAUUCAUUGGUCAAGUAAAUUAGGCAAUGCUAAAGCCUGUAGGUUUGGUCCUUGAACAAGAUGUGGGCCCUGCAAGAUGGGAGAGUAAACCUU
This 1229-nucleotide small RNA is filed under the name Pongo abelii (Sumatran orangutan). RNAcentral's name for it is "retained intron". The record is from RNAcentral. Lineage: Eukaryota; Metazoa; Chordata; Mammalia; Primates; Hominidae.